Dermacentor silvarum is the source of this 618-nucleotide long non-coding RNA. RefSeq lists it as uncharacterized. The record is from RefSeq and is a predicted model, not a curated record. The transcript has 2 exons. Lineage: Eukaryota; Metazoa; Arthropoda; Arachnida; Ixodida; Ixodidae.
UAUUUUGAUUUUAAACUCACGUCAGAGUGGCGCGGUAUAUAGCGUGCGCUUGUGCAACGCGGUAUAUAGCUUAAGUUAUUACGAAAUUAGAGAUCUCUCAAUUGGUUGAUCCAUUGCCCUGUUCCUGAGCGGUGACGUAGUGACACGAACGCUACACAAACAAAGAACCGCUCUCGGUGGAAAACAUAUAACCAGCUGUUGUCUGAUCGCAGUGCGUAGUUGCUUCCUUUUAUUCCUGCAGGUCGCUAUCAUGACGAAACCGUGCACAGCAACUGCAAUACAUGUACUGGUGGUGCUCCUGACUCUAGCUUACCUUCCAAACCUAGAAUCCCUUGAAGUACACCCAAAAGAAAGAACAAAACGAGAUACUGCGGUAAGCGGAACUUCGUCCGAUUGCCCAACCAAUACCCUGCAGCCAGGCAGCAUGAUGUGCGCUUUGUACUUGGACACUAGGACAUGCGCCGACCUGGAUUGCCAGAGUCAGGACAAGAUCUGCUGCCGCGGCAGUUGCAACCACCUGCAGUGCGUUGGGCGUCCAUAGAAGACAGAGAGACAAUAUAUAGUACAUGAACCUUACUUGCAGCUCUGACAGUAAAGGUCAAAGUACAUGUAUAUUUG